Molecule: long non-coding RNA, 1137 nt
Organism: Cynoglossus semilaevis (tongue sole)
Lineage: Eukaryota; Metazoa; Chordata; Actinopteri; Pleuronectiformes; Cynoglossidae
Exons: 2
Source: RefSeq, a predicted model, not a curated record
CUGUUUUUAUAUAGCUUAAAUAAAAAAAAUCGGAAUGGACUGGAAUACUUUAAUUUUCAUACUAAGGUCGUAUCUAUGUUUAUGGUUGGCGGAGGGAUAUACUCUACGACUGGGAUUCCAGGAAAAUGGUGGCGGUAAAGUUAGGACAGAAACACGUGGAUGGCGAGGAGAAGCCGGGUGUCUUACUGCGUGUCUGUGGCUCUGACUGACUGUCUGUGUGUCUGAAUUUCCUCAUAGAGUCGACCGAAACCAACGUAUUAACAACAUAACGUACAACGCACAGCAUUCAAAAGUAGUUAGAAACAUAUUUAAACGAACAAUUUUUUAUUAUUACCGAAUUUAGAGCUAUUUGUUCAGAUGUCUGUAAUCAGCAUAUAUCAUUAAUGUCGGAUUAAAAAAAACUAAAUACUUAUAAUAAUUCACAGUUAACGCAUAUUUUCCAACCAGGGGAAAUGUUUUAUUUGAUAAUAAAUUGAAUAUGUGUAAUAAAUAAAAGUUUUUUGGUUUCUUUUAAUGUGAGUCUUGUGUAGGUGAAAGUAAAGACAGUCAGUGCAGAGGAAUGUGCUCUUACACUGGACUGAAGCAUUUUGACAGAGAGAGUGAGACAGUGAACCUCUCACAGCCACGCUGCCCUCAUGUUCCAAGUAUUGCAGGAGUUUCACUAUCAGACUACAGCUUCUUUCAACACGUGACUACUACUACUGCUGCUACUGCUACUGUUUCUCUCACUACGGUUACUACUAGUACCAAUAUUUCUCUUACCAAUGUGUUUAGACACGACCUGUCCUACAUUUAAAGACUGAGUUGAGUUUUGACUAAUUUCAACAUUCUUUGUUAUUUGUUAUUCAAGUUUUUGAAAACGUCCUUUGCAGAGGAGGAAUGUGCAUGUGUCUUAUAAAAGCAAUCGUACUCCCCCCACCCCCCAUUGAUGACGUUAAAAAACCUCAAAGCUGUCAGUUAAGCCAUUGUUAAAUUGAGAUGUGACGAAACCAAAACACUGAUUGAAUAAAGUACAAGAAUGUAUAUAUAUUUAUAUAUAUGUAUAGUGUACGUGGAGUCAGUCAAGUCAAAAAUAUAUAUUGUGCAUGUGAUUAUAUUUCACUUUGAUACUGUAAUAAUUAAAACUAAUGAAUGAAA